AGCAGUCAGCACCAUCUAUAGGCGGAACUUGCACGCUACCGGGCGAGUUCUCCACCGGAUUGCCGCUCUUAACCGUCCCGGCGACUGAUAUGCGUUGAAAGACUAAACCCUAAAUCAAUUAUCCCGAUCUUUAUUGGUAUCUCUCCAAUUGGCAUUGGAACCUGCUAUGUUAAGGUGGAUGACAAUGGAUCCAGUAUCUCACGAUAUGGACUGGUGCUGAUGGGAGAAAGAUAUGCGACAUCAAAAUACAGCCAUUCAGACGACAUUCGUACUUUCCUAGCAAGCUUUGGCGUUAAAGGAGAGGUUCAGAGCUCUAUUUCUGUCGUUCUUUGGUGGAAAUUGUUGCUAAAACUCACUGGAGACGAAAUGAAUAUCGUAAGGUUUUGAAGGGUUCAAUCACACAUAUGGGUGGUACCAUAUGUCUUGGAUCAAUAAGAAUGUAUUUUCAAGUAAAAAAUUCUGAACCUGCAAUACUAUUUGGCAACCAGAGCUUUGUAGAUGAGAGGCACGUCAUAGAUAUGAGCAAUUUGAAGAUGCUGGCCUUUCUUUCACUGGAAAAGAUGAGUGUGGUUGCUGCAUGGAGGUGAACCUUUUAUGUAAUUGAAUUAUGAAGUCAUGAUAAAUACUCGUAGUGUUGUUAUUGGUUUAAUUAUAAUUGAAUUAUGAAGCCAUUGAAUGGAAAUAUGUGAAGUUUUUCUUGUUUAAGGCCCCACUCACACAACUCUAAAUAAAAUUAAGUAGUUUAAUUUUAAGAAGUUGUGAUUCGUAAUACUUUGAAUGAAGACACUUAAUUGGACAGACUAUCAUAUACACCCUCAGUGGUCAUUUUCUUUUACAUGGUCUAGACUUUUUUUCUUCUUUGAAAUGAACAUGGUCUAGAAUUUUUUAUUUUGAUUGUUUCUUAAGAGUUGAAAAUUGUGUCAUGUAAGAGAAUGGGGAAUUUUAUGUUUUCUGAUUUAAUUAAUGUCUUGAGGAUCAAUAGAUGUGGGCUGCUGAGGAUAUGGCAAGUCGUGCUUUAAUGCAAUGUUAAUCACUUGGACUAGUUGCACAAAAGGUAGUGAUCAAUGAGGCUCUUUCAUUAAUUCUUAUGUUCCUUUGUUUGCUAGUUCUGAUUAUGAGGGCAUAUGCUUUAUAUGAAAAUUGAUAUACGUUUCCUCCUAUUAGCAUGAUGCUCCAUUCUAGUAUCGAAGUAUUUUUUCCCCAAAUGAAUACUCUUAUAUCACAAUACUAUUUCUUUUUUCCAUGAGAUUUACUUCCUUGUAGGACUGUUCUUUUGAUGUUUGUUAUUCUUAUAAGUUGUGUUCUCCUAGGUGAACUUUAAGAUGGAUGAUAAUGGUAAGUAUUAGUAUAGGCGACAUGGAUCUAAUGCAUUUUGAUGGGCAUAAAGUUCUGGCCAAUUUAUUAUUUUCCUUCAUCCCCUGAAGUUGUAAUUUCUUUUGAAGGAUCUGGUGUCUCACAAGAUGGACGAGGAGAGAAAGAUAUGGUAAUUGUUUUGCAAAAUAUUGGACUGACAACUCUUAUGUUCAUAACUUGGAAUGGUUGUUGUAGUCUAUGGGGUUGCAUGCAUUACUCAACUGAUAGGCUGUUGACGGUUUGUGUAUGUUAGUAUCUUUUUGCAGAUGUUCUUUUGUUUAUUGUUUUUCGGUUUUACUUGUAAUUGGGCAAACUGGUACGGCUAUACGCAACACAAAAUAUUGAUGCUUACAUUUUGUUUUUGCUUUUACUGUAUGAUGUUCAUGUACUUCGCAUUCCUAGUGCCUUGUUUGCAAUAAAAUACUUUCUUUACCUA
This is an RNA transcript of Solanum pennellii, 1789 nucleotides long. RefSeq lists it as uncharacterized. Lineage: Eukaryota; Viridiplantae; Streptophyta; Magnoliopsida; Solanales; Solanaceae. The transcript has 7 exons. The record is from RefSeq and is a predicted model, not a curated record.